AUCUGAAUGACAUCAUGGACUAUAAUCUACCAGGUACCUACACAUUUCUCGUUGCUUUCCUGGUCUUCCUCCUUAGCCUACAAUAUACAACCGCCAUACGAUGCUUGAGUUGUGAUGACGUCAUACAACCACGUCACUGUUCUGGCAUCGAACAUUGCCCCGAAGGAGAUGCAUGUGUGACUGAGUCUUACCGAAACAAGAACGGGGGAACGUUGUUUAACGUUGGUUGCUUGUCUGCACA
This is a long non-coding RNA of Mizuhopecten yessoensis (Yesso scallop), 241 nucleotides long. RefSeq lists it as uncharacterized. The transcript has 3 exons. Lineage: Eukaryota; Metazoa; Mollusca; Bivalvia; Pectinida; Pectinidae. The record is from RefSeq and is a predicted model, not a curated record.